RNAcentral lists this ribosomal RNA (1488 nucleotides) under uncultured organism. RNAcentral's name for it is "16S ribosomal RNA". It matches the Rfam family "Bacterial small subunit ribosomal RNA". The record is from RNAcentral.
UGGCGGCGUGCCUAAUACAUGCAAGUCGAACGAGUUCUGAUUAUUGAAAGGUGCUUGCAUCUUGAUUUAAUUUUGAACGAGUGGCGGACGGGUGAGUAACACGUGGGUAACCUGCCCUUAAGUGGGGGAUAACAUUUGGAAACAGAUGCUAAUACCGCAUAAAUCCAAGAACCGCAUGGUUCUUGGCUGAAAGAUGGCGUAAGCUAUCGCUUUUGGAUGGACCCGCGGCGUAUUAGCUAGUUGGUGAGGUAACGGCUCACCAAGGCAAUGAUACGUAGCCGAACUGAGAGGUUGAUCGGCCACAUUGGGACUGAGACACGGCCCAAACUCCUACGGGAGGCAGCAGUAGGGAAUCUUCCACAAUGGACGCAAGUCUGAUGGAGCAACGCCGCGUGAGUGAAGAAGGCUUUCGGGUCGUAAAACUCUGUUGUUGGAGAAGAAUGGUCGGCAGAGUAACUGUUGUCGGCGUGACGGUAUCCAACCAGAAAGCCACGGCUAACUACGUGCCAGCAGCCGCGGUAAUACGUAGGUGGCAAGCGUUAUCCGGAUUUAUUGGGCGUAAAGCGAGCGCAGGCGGUUUUUUAAGUCUGAUGUGAAAGCCCUCGGCUUAACCGAGGAAGUGCAUCGGAAACUGGGAAACUUGAGUGCAGAAGAGGACAGUGGAACUCCAUGUGUAGCGGUGAAAUGCGUAGAUAUAUGGAAGAACACCAGUGGCGAAGGCGGCUGUCUGGUCUGUAACUGACGCUGAGGCUCGAAAGCAUGGGUAGCGAACAGGAUUAGAUACCCUGGUAGUCCAUGCCGUAAACGAUGAAUGCUAGGUGUUGGAGGGUUUCCGCCCUUCAGUGCCGCAGCUAACGCAUUAAGCAUUCCGCCUGGGGAGUACGACCGCAAGGUUGAAACUCAAAGGAAUUGACGGGGGCCCGCACAAGCGGUGGAGCAUGUGGUUUAAUUCGAAGCAACGCGAAGAACCUUACCAGGUCUUGACAUCUUUUGAUCACCUGAGAGAUCAGGUUUCCCCUUCGGGGGCAAAAUGACAGGUGGUGCAUGGUUGUCGUCAGCUCGUGUCGUGAGAUGUUGGGUUAAGUCCCGCAACGAGCGCAACCCUUAUGACUAGUUGCCAGCAUUUAGUUGGGCACUCUAGUAAGACUGCCGGUGACAAACCGGAGGAAGGUGGGGAUGACGUCAAAUCAUCAUGCCCCUUAUGACCUGGGCUACACGCGUGCUACAAUGGAUGGUACAACGAGUUGCGAGACCGCGAGGUCAAGCUAAUCUCUUAAAGCCAUUCUCAGUUCGGACUGUAGGCUGCAACUCGCCUACACGAAGUCGGAGUCGCUAGUAAUCGCGGAUCAGCACGCCGCGGUGAAUACGUUCCCGGGCCUUGUACACACCGCCCGUCACACCAUGAGAGUUUGUAACACCCGAAGCCGGUGGCGUAACCCUUUUAGGGAGCGAGCCGUCUAAGGUGGGACAAAUGAUUAGGGUGAAGUC